This 209-nucleotide long non-coding RNA is filed under the name Panax ginseng (ginseng). Its description in RNAcentral is "long non-coding RNA (PGIN_LNC019172)". The record is from RNAcentral. Lineage: Eukaryota; Viridiplantae; Streptophyta; Magnoliopsida; Apiales; Araliaceae.
UCCCCCUUAGAUGAUGACCCAGCUUCCUUUCCAAAUACAGGAUCUUCAUCCUUUGGCUCCCCCUCAGAUGAUGACCCAGCUUCUUCUUCUUCUUCUAUCUUCUUCUUUGUCUUCUUCUCUUGUUUCCUUCUACUCUCCUUGCCCUUUCUUGAGUGCCUCUUACUCUGCCUCUUUCUAUGCCUCUUUUUCUCCCCCUUUUUGUCAUUAAU